ACGUUAGCGGCGGACGGGUGAGUAACACGUGGGUAACCUACCUAUAAGACUGGGAUAACUUCGGGAAACCGGAGCUAAUACCGGAUAAUAUUUCGAACCGCAUGGUUCGAUAGUGAAAGAUGGUUUAGCUAUCACUUAUAGAUGGACCCGCGCCGUAUUAGCUAGUUGGUAAGGUAACGGCUUACCAAGGCGACGAUACGUAGCCGACCUGAGAGGGUGAUCGGCCACACUGGAACUGAGACACGGUCCAGACUCCUACGGGAGGCAGCAGCG
Molecule: ribosomal RNA, 273 nt
Filed under: uncultured Staphylococcus sp.
Lineage: Bacteria; Bacillati; Bacillota; Bacilli; Caryophanales; Staphylococcaceae
Description: partial 16S ribosomal RNA
Rfam family: Bacterial small subunit ribosomal RNA
Source: RNAcentral